GCAGUAGCCACGGGAAUACGUAGGGCGCAAGCGUUAUCCGGAAUUAUUGGGCGUAAAGAGCUCGUAGGCGGUUUGUCGCGUCUGCCGUGAAAGUCCGGGGCUCAACCCCGGAUCUGCGGUGGGUACGGGCAGACUAGAGUGAUGUAGGGGAGACUGGAAUUCCUGGUGUAGCGGUGAAAUGCGCAGAUAUCAGGAGGAACACCGAUGGCGAAGGCAGGUCUCUGGGCAUUAACUGACGCUGAGGAGCGAAAGCAUGGGGAGCGAACAGGAUUAGAUACCCCUGUAGUCCCUGUCUCUUAUAC
Molecule: ribosomal RNA, 302 nt
Filed under: uncultured bacterium
Lineage: Bacteria
Description: partial 16S ribosomal RNA
Rfam family: Bacterial small subunit ribosomal RNA
Source: RNAcentral